This 332-nucleotide ribosomal RNA is filed under the name uncultured bacterium. Its description in RNAcentral is "bacterial SSU rRNA". It matches the Rfam family "Bacterial small subunit ribosomal RNA", at positions 568 to 898 of the family's 1533-position model. The record is from RNAcentral.
CGUGUAGGCGGCCACUUAAGUCCUGCGUGAAAUCCUGCGGCUCAACCGCAGGCGGUCGUGGGAAACUGGGUGGCUAGAGUGCGGGAGAGGAGAGUGGAAUUCCUGGUGUAGCGGUGGAAUGCGCAGAUAUCAGGAAGAACACCCGUGGCGAAGGCGGCUCUCUGGAACGCAACUGACGCUGAGACGCGAAAGCGUGGGGAGCAAACAGGAUUAGAUACCCUGGUAGUCCACGCCGUAAACGAUGGACGCUAGGUGUGGGCGGUGUCGACUCCGUCCGUGCCGAAGCUAACGCAUUAAGCGUCCCGCCUGGGGAGUACGGCCGCAAGGCUAAA